GACAGAGGGUGCAAACGUUGUUCGGAAUUACUGGGCGUAAAGCGCGUGUAGGCAGUUUCGCAAGUCGGGUGUGAAAGCCCUGGGCUCAACCUAGGAAGUGCACUCGAAACUGCGAGACUUGAGUUCUGGAGAGGAAGGCGGAAUUCUCGGUGUAGAGGUGAAAUUCGUAGAUAUCGAGAGGGACACCGGUGGCGAAGGCGGCCUUCUGGACAGUGACUGACGCUGAGACGCGAAAGCGUGGGGAGCAAACAGG
This 253-nucleotide ribosomal RNA is filed under the name uncultured bacterium. RNAcentral describes it as "partial 16S ribosomal RNA". It matches the Rfam family "Bacterial small subunit ribosomal RNA", at positions 524 to 776 of the family's 1533-position model. The record is from RNAcentral.